RNAcentral lists this long non-coding RNA (753 nucleotides) under Saimiri boliviensis boliviensis (Bolivian squirrel monkey). Its description in RNAcentral is "lncRNA (ENSSBOG00000036710.1)". The record is from RNAcentral. Lineage: Eukaryota; Metazoa; Chordata; Mammalia; Primates; Cebidae.
AAUACAUCUUUUGAUAAAUGGGAAGAAGGAGAUCUUCAAAAAAGGGUUUCAGGUGUUGGAGAUGGCUUUGGAAAUGGCUGUGCGGAUGGAGAUGCAGAGAGAGGAAGUAUUUUUUGUCGCCCCAUCACAGAAUGACUCAGCAAAAUCAAACAGCUGUGGCACUAGAAGAUUUCUCUCAUCCUUACUUCAUAUUGCAGAAAGAAACUGGAAGAUAUUACCGUCCAAGUAUGGAAAAGACGUACGACACACAAGAUACCCUAAUAUGCAAGGAUCAGAUGGAGGAAGAGGAAUCGCUGUCCGGUAUUCCUCCUGAGCAUCAACUGCAUCAACCCUUUGAGGAUGAGGAUUCCAGGGGCCUGACGAACCAUCGGCUCACCCCGUAGACCAUGGAGUCCAUGUUGGCUGAUGUUGGAAUCACCUGUGAGGCUUUGAAAGCACGGAUGCUUGGGUCCUACCUCCAGACUUCUGAUUCAACUGGUGUGGGCUGUGACCUGCGUAUUGGGUGGAUUUUAAAGCUUCCCAGGUGUGGCCAAGGUUGGAAUUACCUUAGAAUAUAAAUGCACGCAUUUCACGCGCCGGUCAAUUACUGCUUCAAUCUUUGAUUCCAACAUCAUAUGAUACCAAUUGGAGCAAUUUAAGCCAGAGAAGCUGGCUGAGUCCACGUUGAACACCGGCAUAAAAUAAAGAGAGAGAGAUAUCAAGACACAUUUGGCUCUAGGGAGAACAUUAGCUCUACUAUUCAUAAAUCUGGAU